UACGUAGGGUGCGAGCGUUGUCCGGAAUUAUUGGGCGGAAAGAGCUCGUAGGCGGUUUGUCGCGUCGACUGUGAAAACCCGAGGCUUAACCUCGGGCCUGCAGUCGAUACGGGCAGACUAGAGUUCGGUAGGGGAGACUGGAAUUCCUGGUGUAGCGGUGAAAUGCGCAGAUAUCAGGAGGAACACCGGUGGCGAAGGCGGGUCUCUGGGCCGAUACUGACGCUGAGGAGCGAAAGCGUGGGGAGCGAACAGG
Molecule: ribosomal RNA, 253 nt
Filed under: uncultured bacterium
Lineage: Bacteria
Description: partial 16S ribosomal RNA
Rfam family: Bacterial small subunit ribosomal RNA
Source: RNAcentral